UCCCACAUACUGUUGUUUGUCAGACAGGC
Molecule: non-coding RNA, 29 nt
Filed under: Rattus norvegicus (Norway rat)
Lineage: Eukaryota; Metazoa; Chordata; Mammalia; Rodentia; Muridae
Source: RNAcentral